Long non-coding RNA from Fukomys damarensis (Damara mole-rat), 636 nucleotides. RefSeq lists it as uncharacterized. The record is from RefSeq and is a predicted model, not a curated record. NCBI's taxonomy places the organism in Eukaryota, Metazoa, Chordata, Mammalia, Rodentia, Bathyergidae. The transcript is spliced from 3 exons.
AUAUUGUUCAGUAAAUGAUUAUUUACCAUUGAUAGGAUUUUUUUUUUCUUCUGUGCUGAGGGCUGAACCUAGGGCCUUCCCACUGAGCUGCAUCCCAGUGCUCCACACCCACCUUUAUUUCUGACACAGAGUUUCACUCCCAUUUCUAGAUCACAGGUCUAACCCCUUGUCUUGCCUCAGGGUUACAAAGUCCAUGUCACUCCCAGACCUAGUGGUCCUUGAACCACUCUUACAAUUAGCUUUCUUCUAACUCUUCAGGCCAAACUUCCUGCCACAUCUGGCUUCAUCCCAAGAAUCUGAUUCUAAAUACGAGUAGUGGCUGAAAUUACCAUGAAGCUACACUGAUCCCCCAUACCAGGAAUCAUUUCUGUAGGUCAGAAGCCUGGGUGAGCCUCAGCUGGGUUCUAUGCUGAGGGCUAAAAGCAAAGUGUCAGCUGGACCAAGAUAAGAGCCCAGACAAGAUCCAUGGGCUCUGGGGAAGAAUCUGCUUCCAGUUUCAUCCAGCUGCUACAGGCUCCUCUCAGACCCUUGCCACGUCAAACACAGUGUCUGUGUUUCCGGGUGAAUCUCCCUUGAAGGGCCCAUCUGUGUGCCCACUGCCGUGUCACAAGAGGUGUAACCCAUGGCCUCUUUCAU